CUCCAUCCGAGUCCCAAUGCAAUAAAAGUUAACAACUAUAGGUCAAAGUACUACCUUCAACACGAAACAUCGGCGCACACCAAUCAGCAAACUAUAAAUGCUAGUGUAAAACCAUUCAUACAGGAAGGUCUUAUCUACAUGUAUAUGAUAAUAUGAUAACCGAGAAACACAUGUGAACCACACCAACAAACGACAGCUACCGAACAAUAGGCUACUGAAUUAGGACAAGUGCUUUACUAUGCAGAAUGCGUUUGAUAUAUUAACUAGUAUUCUAAUAUGAAGUGCUUCUUUCGCUUUGUAAACAACACUGUGAUAAAAUUCUCCAUAUAUCUAUUCUUAGCGCAGACUCAGAGAUAUACAAAAUAUUGGCUGUUACAAUAUACUUCCCACGUAAAUCCACAUGUAUUGGAAUCUAUUUACAAACCAUUUGCCAUUUGCCAAUUAAAUUGUUUCAAAAAUUGUAGU
Molecule: long non-coding RNA, 465 nt
Filed under: Mytilus galloprovincialis (Mediterranean mussel)
Lineage: Eukaryota; Metazoa; Mollusca; Bivalvia; Mytilida; Mytilidae
Source: RNAcentral